RNAcentral lists this transfer RNA (71 nucleotides) under Marmota marmota marmota (Alpine marmot). It matches the Rfam family "tRNA". From Rfam's summary of the family: Transfer RNA (tRNA) molecules are approximately 80 nucleotides in length. Their secondary structure includes four short double-helical elements and three loops (D, anti-codon, and T loops). The record is from Rfam by way of RNAcentral. RNAcentral also lists the same sequence under 1 other name. Lineage: Eukaryota; Metazoa; Chordata; Mammalia; Rodentia; Sciuridae.
GGGGAGAUAGCUCAUUGGUAAAGCACUUGCCUGGCAUGCAUGAGGCCCUGGGUUCAAUCCCCAUCACCACA